This 26-nucleotide non-coding RNA is filed under the name Homo sapiens (human). Lineage: Eukaryota; Metazoa; Chordata; Mammalia; Primates; Hominidae. The record is from RNAcentral.
UUCCCACUUAUGUCGAAAACCAUGCA